This 572-nucleotide ribosomal RNA is filed under the name uncultured bacterium. Its description in RNAcentral is "bacterial SSU rRNA". It matches the Rfam family "Bacterial small subunit ribosomal RNA", at positions 337 to 918 of the family's 1533-position model. The record is from RNAcentral.
UCCUACGGGAGGCAGCAGUGGGGAAUAUUGCACAAUGGGCGAAAGCCUGAUGCAGCGACGCCGCGUGAGGGAUGACGGCCUUCGGGUUGUAAACCUCUUUCAGUAGGGAAGAAGCGAAAGUGACGGUACCUGCAGAAGAAGCACCGGCUAACUACGUGCCAGCAGCCGCGGUAAUACGUAGGGUGCGAGCGUUAUCCGGAAUUAUUGGGCGUAAAGAGCUCGUAGGCGGUUUGUCGCGUCUGUCGUGAAAGUCCGGGGCUUAACCCCGGAUCUGCGGUGGGUACGGGCAGACUAGAGUGCAGUAGGGGAGACUGGAAUUCCUGGUGUAGCGGUGGAAUGCGCAGAUAUCAGGAGGAACACCGAUGGCGAAGGCAGGUCUCUGGGCUGUAACUGACGCUGAGGAGCGAAAGCAUGGGGAGCGAACAGGAUUAGAUACCCUGGUAGUCCAUGCCGUAAACGUUGGGCACUAGGUGUGGGGACCAUUCCACGGUUUCCGCGCCGCAGCUAACGCAUUAAGUGCCCCGCCUGGGGAGUACCGCCGCAAGGCUUAAAACUCAAAUGAAUUGACGGAA